GGAAGUAAAAGUCGUAACAAGG
Molecule: non-coding RNA, 22 nt
Filed under: Mus musculus (house mouse)
Lineage: Eukaryota; Metazoa; Chordata; Mammalia; Rodentia; Muridae
Also listed under: 2 other names
Source: RNAcentral